Arabidopsis thaliana (thale cress) is the source of this 280-nucleotide long non-coding RNA. RefSeq annotates it as other RNA. The record is from RefSeq. The transcript has a single exon. Lineage: Eukaryota; Viridiplantae; Streptophyta; Magnoliopsida; Brassicales; Brassicaceae.
UAUGUCUCGGAAACACAUUUACCUGAAAAUAACAAAAAAAAAUCAAAGUCAACAUUAUAACAAGACAAAAUACACAGCUGUAUUGACCAACACCAUGAUUGGAUAAGUUUCCAGAUCGUCCAUUUGUUUUCUUCACAAACAAGCAAAGAUUGGGGCAAAAAAAGUCAAUAGAUUGCAGAAUCAAGAAAACAAGACAACCACAAGAAUACAAGAUUCUUCUAUCCAAAAGUCAUCAAGAACCAUUCCGAACAAUCUAACCUUGGAGAGUAAAUUAUCUUUG